Molecule: non-coding RNA, 72 nt
Organism: Nestor notabilis (Kea)
Lineage: Eukaryota; Metazoa; Chordata; Aves; Psittaciformes; Psittacidae
Source: Rfam
GGUCCCAUGGUGUAACGGUAAACACUCUGGUCUCUGACUCCAGCGAUCUGAGUUCAAAUCUCAGUGGGACCU